RNAcentral lists this ribosomal RNA (449 nucleotides) under uncultured bacterium. RNAcentral describes it as "bacterial SSU rRNA". It matches the Rfam family "Bacterial small subunit ribosomal RNA", at positions 30 to 485 of the family's 1533-position model. The record is from RNAcentral.
AUUGAACGCUGGCGGAAUGCUUUACACAUGCAAGUCGAACGGUAGAGGGGGCAACCCCUUGAGAGUGGCGAACGGGUGAGUAAUAUAUCGGAACGUGCCCAGUCGUGGGGAUAACGUAGCGAAAGUUACGCUAAUACCGCAUACGAUCUAAGGAUGAAAGCGGGGGAUCGCAAGACCUCGCGCGAUUGGAGCGGCCGAUAUCAGAUUAGGUAGUUGGUGAGGUAAAGGCUCACCAAGCCAACGAUCUGUAGCUGGUCUGAGAGGACGACCAGCCACACUGGAACUGAGACACGGUCCAGACUCCUACGGGAGGCAGCAGUGGGAAUUUUGGACAAUGGACGCAAGUCUGAUCCAGCCAUUCCGCGUGCAGGAUGAAGGCCUCGGGUUGUAAACUGCUUUUUCGUACGGAACGAAAAGGUUUGUCUUAAUACGAUGAGCUCAUGACGGUA